RNAcentral lists this ribosomal RNA (677 nucleotides) under Lactobacillus delbrueckii subsp. bulgaricus. RNAcentral describes it as "bacterial SSU rRNA". It matches the Rfam family "Bacterial small subunit ribosomal RNA", at positions 43 to 694 of the family's 1533-position model. The record is from RNAcentral. Lineage: Bacteria; Bacillati; Bacillota; Bacilli; Lactobacillales; Lactobacillaceae.
UUUGCCUUAUACAUGCAAGUCGAGCGAGCUGAAUUCAAAGAUCCCUUCGGGGUGAUUUGUUGGACGCUAGCGGCGGAUGGGUGAGUAACACGUGGGCAAUCUGCCCUAAAGACUGGGAUACCACUUGGAAACAGGUGCUAAUACCGGAUAACAACAUGAAUCGCAUGAUUCAAGUUUGAAAGGCGGCGCAAGCUGUCACUUUAGGAUGAGCCCGCGGCGCAUUAGCUAGUUGGUGGGGUAAAGGCCUACCAAGGCAAUGAUGCGUAGCCGAGUUGAGAGACUGAUCGGCCACAUUGGGACUGAGACACGGCCCAAACUCCUACGGGAGGCAGCAGUAGGGAAUCUUCCACAAUGGACGCAAGUCUGAUGGAGCAACGCCGCGUGAGUGAAGAAGGUUUUCGGAUCGUAAAGCUCUGUUGUUGGUGAAGAAGGAUAGAGGCAGUAACUGGUCUUUAUUUGACGGUAAUCAACCAGAAAGUCACGGCUAACUACGUGCCAGCAGCCGCGGUAAUACGUAGGUGGCAAGCGUUGUCCGGAUUUAUUGGGCGUAAAGCGAGCGCAGGCGGAAUGAUAAGUCUGAUGUGAAAGCCCACGGCUCAACCGUGGAACUGCAUUAGAAACUGUCAUUCUUGAGUGCAGAAGAGGAGAGUGGAACUCCAUGGGUAGGCGGUCACAUA